AGCGUCACCGCGGGCACUGGAUAUAAAGUCCACGCAGCCCGCGGGACUCAGACUUCCCGGAUCGCAGAUGGGGGCGAUGGCGCCGCGUACGCUGCUCCUGCUGCUGGCGGCCGCCCUGGCCCCGACCCAGACUCGCGCAGGCUCACACUCGCUGCGGUAUUUCGUCACCGCCUUGUCGCGGCCCGGACUCGGGGAGCCCCGGUUCAUUAUCGUCGGCUACGUGGACGACACGGAGUUCGUGCGCUUCGACAGCGACGCGGAGAAUCCGAGGAUGGAGCCGCGCGCGCCGUGGAUAGAGCAGGAGGGGCCGGAGUAUUGGGAGCAGCAGACACAGAGAGCCAAGGGUGACGACCAGAAUUACCGAGCGAACCUGAGGACAGCGCUGCGCUACUACAACCAGAGCAAGAAUGGCUCUCACACACUCCAGCGAAUGUUUGGCUGUGACAUGGGGUCGGACGGGCGCUUCCUCACCGGGUACUGGCAGGUCGCCUACGACGGAGAUGAUUACAUCGCCCUGAACGAAGACCUGAAAACGUGGACAGCAAUGAACAUGACAGCUCAGAUCACCCGACGCAAGUGGGAGCAGGCUGGUGUUGCAGAGCUUUACAAGGCCUACCUGGAGGGCGAGUGCAUGGGGUGGCUCCGCCGCUACCUGGAGCUCGGGAAGGAGACGCUGCUGCGCACAGAACCCCCAAAUGCCCAUGUGGCCCGUCACCCCAGACCUGGAGGUGAUGUCACCCUGAGGUGCUGGGCCCUGGGUUUCUACCCUGCUGACAUUACCGUGACCUGGCAGUUAGAAGGGGAGAAGCUGAUCCAAGAAAUGGAAUUCGUGGAGACCAGGCCUUCAGGGGAUGGAACCUUCCAGAAGUGGGCAGCUGUGGUGGUGCCUUCUGGGGAGGAGCAGAAAUACACAUGCCAUGUGCAACAUGAGGGGCUGCCUGAGCCCCUCACCCUGA
Mastomys coucha (southern multimammate mouse) is the source of this 956-nucleotide RNA transcript. It is a transcript of the gene named H-2 class I histocompatibility antigen, Q10 alpha chain-like, with no coding region annotated. The transcript is spliced from 4 exons. NCBI's taxonomy places the organism in Eukaryota, Metazoa, Chordata, Mammalia, Rodentia, Muridae. The record is from RefSeq and is a predicted model, not a curated record.